Long non-coding RNA from Bactrocera oleae (olive fruit fly), 1961 nucleotides. RefSeq lists it as uncharacterized. NCBI's taxonomy places the organism in Eukaryota, Metazoa, Arthropoda, Insecta, Diptera, Tephritidae. The record is from RefSeq and is a predicted model, not a curated record.
CAUUUUUUGGCGCGCUUUUCCACUCAUUUUGAAUAUGUAAAUUCAAAAUUUGUUUUUUAAUUUUUAAUUUAUAUUUUUUGUGUGUAAAACUUCAUAAGCCAGAAUUGAGUUAUUGGCUAUUUAACUGAAAAUGUAUAACGAAAUUCGGGUAUUUGUGUGAUUUGUAGGUAAAAACCAAGAUAAAAAUUGCGUGUUGAUUAUGGGGUAUACAAUAUACAUCAAAUUAUGUGAACGCACAUUGGAUGUUUUCGCUUCGGAGUUUCACCGUGGUCAAACCACAAAUAAUUUAUGUCGGUGUAUGCACACGUCCAUUGGAUAUUUAUCAAAUUAGCUUCAAACGAGUUUUUAGCUAGUCUUUUCCGUUCUCAAUACUAAUGCAUACAUACAGGAACAUAUGCUCAUCAAAAAUUUAUGACAGUUAUUGUCAUGAAUAUCCACUUAAGGUGACAAUCUUGUGUCACAGCCACCUUCACUGCGAUCGCUCAGCCGCAUAAUCCCACGAUCCGGUCAGUUUCUCGUGUCAGUGUUUUCCAUUACAAAACACCUCACGUCCGAAAACAAAACUUACUACAAUUGUACAAACAUCCAUACACUUGCAUGUAGUCAUGCAUGUGUACAUAUAUACAGACAGAGCAGAUUGUCGGCGAUUGCGCAGAUAUUUUUCAUAGCGGCUUAGUUGCAUGCAUGUGUACAUAUAAUAUGUAUGUAUAUUCUUUGGCAUUACAUAAUGAGUGCCUGCACAAGGCGCGGUACACAUGAUGUAUAUUUACCAAAACAUACACAUGUACAUAUGUACAUACAUAUAUAUAAUAUAUAUAAAUUUAAUGCCAUAUUGACGUGCAUAUUGCAUACUCUUAUAAAAAAUAUGUUAACAUCUUGAUAACUAUUGUUAUCACGAAAGUUUUAAAACUCCUCUGGUCUAUUGACCAUUUAUUAUUGAUCACUUGUUUAAGCCACAAAUGUAUUUGGACGCAUGAGUUUGCUUUCUGAAAGGAUCUUUUCUCUGAAAUCUCAUUUGAUGGUAGUAUUUUGGAUUUGACAUACAUUCCUGACAUAGAUUCAUAGAAAACUGUGACAAAGUGUACACCUAAGCAACAAUACAAUAUAUAUAUAUAUGUACGAUUUAAUAUGUAUGUAGACGGUGAUAGACGAUUUUCCCACUCAUUUGCGGAAAUAGAUUUAAACGGCGACAAUGAAGAAUAAAAACACCCCGAAGCCCAAUCGAAAAUUGGCAUUAAUUGCUUUAAAUGUCGACUGCUUUUCAUGUGCAAUUCUUUGCUGAUGUCCACUUAGUUGGCGACGGUUGCUUCAGCGCCUCCACAAGUUUAGACAAGAAAGCGGUGGCUUUAAGUUGACAUACACAAACACAGACAAUAGGUUAGCUACAGUUUGCGAAUAGAAAUAAAUAAGAAUAUCUACAUUCAUACGAACUUAUGUAUGUACAUAUUUUUGGCGAUCGUCUGAGCAUUCUAGUUUUGCUUUUAGUGAAGAUGCUCACUUCUCUGUAGGACAAGUCGGGAUUAGAGCUACAUAGCUACAUGCUAUAUAUAAUACUAUAAUGACGGCAUCAGAAAGGCAGUUGCAACAAUACUAUCAACAGUAGCGAAGAUAAUAAUAAAAGCAACAAUUCCCAUAAAAUAAGGUUUUGUACAGUAGGUAGAUUAAUAUGGCAUGGAAAUAGUGCAGCGACCAGCCACAUUCGUCCAUCGCAAUAAAAGUUCGUGAGAACUCGAUGAUUAUCGUUGCUUGCUUUGAAGUUUGUUCAAGUCAAGAACGCCGUUUCCACUACAACACUUGCAUGACUUUUGUCCUUUGGUGCGGGGGCUAUAUGUGUGUAUCGUGUAUGUACUUGUAUGUAUAUUUGUAAAUUUAUAUGGUAUGAGUCGACUACAAAUAAUGUUUGCUAAUUGUUGAUACCAAAUUUCAUAAGUUUCAAAAUAUAUUGCUCGGUAACCACAAAC